GUGCAUUAGCUAGUUGGUAAGGUAAUGGCUUACCAAGGCGAUGAUGCAUAGCCGAGUUGAGAGACUGAUCGGCCACAAUGGGACUGAGACACGGCCCAUACUCCUACGGGAGGCAGCAGUAGGGAAUCUUCCACAAUGGGCGAAAGCCUGAUGGAGCAACGCCGCGUGUGUGAUGAAGGGUUUCGGCUCGUAAAACACUGUUGUAAGAGAAGAAUGACAUUGAGAGUAACUGUUCAAUGUGUGACGGUAUCUUACCAGAAAGGAACGGCUAAAUACGUGCCAGCAGCCGCGGUAAUACGUAUGUUCCAAGCGUUAUCCGGAUUUAUUGGGCGUAAAGCGAGCGCAGACGGUUAUUUAAGUCUGAAGUGAAAGCCCUCAGCUCAACUGAGGAAUUGCUUUGGAAACUGGAUGACUUGAGUGCAGUAGAGGAAAGUGGAACUCCAUGUGUAGCGGUGAAAUGCGUAGAUAUAUGGAAGAACACCAGUGGCGAACGCGGCUUUCUGGACUGUAACUGACGUUGAGGCUCGAAAGUGUGGGUAGCAAACAGGAUUAGAUACCCUGGUAGUCCACACCGUAAACGAUGAGUGCUAGUGUUUGAGGGUUUC
Molecule: ribosomal RNA, 605 nt
Filed under: Weissella confusa
Lineage: Bacteria; Bacillati; Bacillota; Bacilli; Lactobacillales; Lactobacillaceae
Description: bacterial SSU rRNA
Rfam family: Bacterial small subunit ribosomal RNA
Source: RNAcentral